GAUGAAGAACGCAGCGAAAUGCGAUACUUGGUGUGAAUUGCAGAAUCCCGUGAACCAUCGAGUCUUUGAACGCAAGUUGCGACUCAAGCCAUUAGGUUGAGGGCACGUCUGCCUGGGCGUCACAUAUCGUUGCCUGAUGCCAGUUUCCUCGUGAUGGGUGACUGUGCAGGGCGAAUGAUGGCUUCCCGUGAGCAUUGUUGCCUCAUGGUUGGUUGAAAAUUGAGUCCUUGGUAGGGAGCGCCGUGAUAGAUGGUGGUUGAGUGACGAACGAGACCCAAUCAUGUGAGACCCCUACCGAAUUUGGCCUUCAUGACCCACAUGCGUCUUUGGAACGCUCAUGACGAGACCUCAGGUCAGGCGGGGCUACCCGCUGAGUUUAAGCAUAUCAAUAAGCGGAGGA
RNAcentral lists this unclassified non-coding RNA (400 nucleotides) under soil metagenome. RNAcentral describes it as "partial contains 5.8S ribosomal RNA, internal transcribed spacer 2, and large subunit ribosomal RNA". The stretch from base 1 to 122 matches the Rfam family "5.8S ribosomal RNA", at positions 35 to 154 of the family's 154-position model. The record is from RNAcentral.